UGUUGCUUUUUCAAAAGAAAAAUUGAGAGAAAGGAAAAAAAAAACCUUAAACACUUAAUAGUAAACUCCUUCAAAAGAAAACUUGCUUCAAGCCAAAAAACAUUUGCCAAGUUUCAACUAAAUGUGAAUUUUCUAACUAAAUGACGCUGUAAUAAACACCUCAAUAUGGGGGUUUCAAAAUGAGAAUGCCAAGACAACUUUGCUUCAAGGAGUUAAAAAAAUAUAUAUAUAUUAAAUAUGUAACUUUUUUUUUAAGAAAAAUCAAACUACCCCACGGAGACAUUUUAUGGUGCUUCAGUUAUAUAUACAUAUUAAAUAAAACAAACAAAAAAACCCCCAAGCAAAUCAAAUACAGAGAAAGCAAAAUGAAAAGCCAUAGAUUCAUGUGUUGCCCAUCAUUCCAGUCAUGCAGGAGGAUGUAGGUAGGAGCAGGACUCUCCCCAGAACCAGAUCAUAGGUCUGGAUGCUAUUGCAGCAGAUUAACCUGGGACCACUACAGGAAGGAAGCAUUUCCAGGUGAGAGAAGGGGUCUACAUCAGAAAUGCUGUUGCAGAACCUACCUGGCCAUUUUACCUCAUCUAGACUCCAACGAGGGUUCCCAGGGACUCUGAAUCCAAGUCCAGUGCCUCCUUCCCUGUGUGCUGCACCAAGUGGUGCCUGCUGUGGCUUGUAGGUGUGAGGGGCUCCAGCAAGGCUCUCCAGCAGCAGAUAGUGACGGUGUGAGCCACUAAACAUUCCUGGGACAGGAAGAGCCUAAAUUCCUGACUGCUCAGAAGUUAAAUGGCUUUUCCUGUGCUUUGGUGCACAAGGUGAGAUCCCGAGAAAGCAGAGCUCUGGGUGCAAAGCGUGAGCACAUCAAUCUCUUCUCAGGGCCAAGUCCGGCUGCCUGGUUUGCAGACAGCUGCUGAUUUGUUUUGGAAUGUACAAAGAUGCCCUUAAAUCCAAUUUAGGCAUUAAGGGGAAAAUAAACCCAUGAGUGCCGUAUGGUGGCUCUGCAGCCCCAAAGGCACCUACAGCUCCUGAGGGGACAGAGGUGCUGCCGUGACUGGUCCAAAACUACUGUGGUGGUGCUGCAAACCACAGCAUCCCUGCAGAGAUGAGCAGUGGGACCCUGCUGCCAGGGGAACCAAAGGCCUUAGGCUGGUUUUAAUUCUGGCCAGCUCCCUCGUGCUGUCACACACAGGACAGAUUGGGAAAGCUGCAGCAAGAGAACAACCUGUGUUUCUGCAGGGAAGGACUGCAGCCAUGAGUUAGCUAGACUCGUCCAAAUAAAGGGGGGAAAAAGCUACUUAUGUCGUUUCCCCAGCCUCAGAGCAAUAUGCUUUCCUAGGAUCAAUUCAUAAUAGGUUGUUGUGUUCAAAGCUAAAAUUAAUCUUACAUCAGGAGAAUGAAUUAAAACAAUGAAGAGCUUCCUGCAUCCAUUGCUAAAAAAAUUAAUCGUCUAAGAGCUUCCUUUUCUACUUUCCAACUGGCCACCUUGCUUUCAUUCAAGGAAAGCCUGAGUAAAAAAAUGAAAAGCCGUUUCCAGGUGGUUUUGGUUAAAGCAAACAAAGAGCUUGAAUUGUGUCAGAGCCUGGUUUCAGGCAGAAGGUGCAGGGUUAGCCAGAAAGAGUGAACCACCACUGCUGAGAUACAGCCACUGGCCUAAUUAGGUGGAAUAGCUAUUAGUGAUUCCACCUAAUUAGAUAAUUAGAUUAAUUAUCUAAUUAACUGAGAUUGUUGUUAGACAAAGGCAGGUAGAGCUUCAGAGGUGAUAAGGAAGACAUCAGGGCAAGGUUACUCUGAUUUAUAUUGAUUUUUUUAACAGUUCAAGAACUCCCCUGGUUCCCACAUUUAUUUACCCAAGUCUUGCUCCUCCGGGGUUGUUUGAAAGUGAUUAAAGCAAGGAAGGGGGGGGGCUGUUCUUUUACAAACAGAGAGGGGGAAAAAAAAAGGAAAUUUCACUGCAAGGAUUCAGUGGAGGGGAGAAACCAGACCGAGCAGGGGAAUGUGUUGUGGAUGAGAACUGCCUCUGCCCCCCCUCCACUUCUUGUGCUUGGAUUUUGCAGCGCAUCCUCCCCGCAGACCUUUUUGGCUACACAGCGUGUUUGUCUUUGGGGAGAGAGACAACAUGUGAGCUAAUGAUGCACCAACACCGAGCGGGAGCUGUGGUGCUGGCAGAUUUUUCUCCAUCGCUUGCUCUUUGCUGGCAGUGCUGGUGGGAACCACAAGCCAAUUAAGGAGGCCUCGUUGCGGUAGACGUGGCGUAAAAGUAGCAUUAGAGCAUCCUGCCCCAGAGACCCGUCAGCCCUGAAUACCCGAGGGCGAGCGCAAGGCAGGUUUGCAAGUUUAAUAAGCCAAGUCCUCCUCGCUCAGGCGUGAAGAUAAUAUUAUGCCAGGCAGGCCCCGGGUGGAGGAGGCAGAGCUGGAGCCUGUGGCUUGCGCGAUUUCAGCCACCUGCUUUGAAUUGCACCGCGACGGAGUCAGGCCCACAGCUGAGCCCAAGUUUUAGGAGGCACAGGAGGGCACGCAACCAAGUCGACCCUGUCUUUCCCGUCCUACAGCUAUUGUUAGAUGCAUCAAGAACUUGACCCACUUUGGGAGUUUCUGGUGGUUUUUCACAUUCCAUUUGUCCUUUCUGACUAACAUUUUGCACUCGUGUGUCACAGCCCUGGCUCUGCUCCCUGUGGUGGAUGCUCAGAUUGCUGGAAAAAGAUCCAGCUGCUAUAUCCCACUGUGUUUAGAGUUUCUGAGCUCUGACUGGAUCCAAGACACCACCCACACUGGGUUUUGAGGCAUCCUCUCCACAUGCCAGCUCCACCUAGCAUCCUCCUUUCUCACCAAGCUUAUGUCCUCCAGCUGCCUAUUUGAAUUCAGACCUUAAAGACUUUGCACACUUCCUCACACCAAAAAACACAAGCUUUGCAGACUAGGACAGAAUUUUUGCAGAGGCCGAUAACAAGUGCAACCCCAGGUGGGCUUUUCUCUGAGUUUUGGAGCUUGGCUGGUCUCUGUUCACACUGCAGAGCACAACAGCAUUUAGUGAUCUGGUGAGUAGUGUGUCCUCAGCACAGGGCCAGCUCUUGGGCUCACCUCCCUGUAGGAAUCCUCACAAAUCAGCCAGAUGGCAGAAGGAAAUGGUUUACACACCUUGUCAAGAGCUCAGAGGUGACUUACGGUUUAUCUUCUCUAGCUUUGGUUGAUCCCACAGCUAAACCAGCCCCUUCCCACUGUAAAUGCCUCACCAUCUCUUCCUCUGUCUUCUGCACACCUCUGAGGUUUCUCUGUCAUACACCCUCAAAUCGCUUGACUUCUUCAUUCAGCCUUAAUACCUGUGUAUAAUAAUAGCUUAAUAACUUUAUAAUAGCUUCAACCUGUCUCCUGAGAGGUACAGAAAUAAACCUGUCUUCCCUAGUUGCACAGACUACGUUAAGAGAUCCAUUACUGGUCACAUCACAAUCAUCAGAAUUCUCAGCUCCCAUUGCCCCUGCUCCAGUGCGUGUGCCUUGGCAUCCUUUUCAGCAAGAUGCUCCACCCAGGCCACAGCAGCAACCCAUGGAAGAGCUGCAGAGUAUAAAUGUCAUGCCAAUGCCUCGGGUACUGCAUGAGGCUGGGCAGCCUGUGCCCUGCCAGGUGUGGAGUGUCAGGCUCCCACUCUCCCUUCCUGCACCCUGCAAGCCCCAGAGGCCACGGCCACCGUCUCAGGCAGAACUUGCUCUUUCCUAACAAAACACUCAGGUCUCCACAGGAGCUAAAGGGUUGCAAGUACAGACCAGCCACUUGCUGGGAGCCGCCGGCCAUCUGGAAUUACAAGACUGAAGUGAACUGCAAGGUACCACAGUGAACAUGUGCAUGAAACUAUCUGAGGCUGCAAAACAAAGGCACUUGCUGGAAAUUAUUAAAACAGCACAAAAACGUGGAAUUCGCCCAAAAUGGAAGGUACAUUGGAAGGGGUAAGAAAUAUCAUAUUGCAAUUAAUGCUGUAUAGGACAUGACAGCAAGACAGAGCCUACUUAUGAAAGAACAUUCCAAUACCAGAGCAAACCCUGUGGCCAAGCCUGGACACUGUGGUGGGGGACAUCCACCCUGGGUGACAGGAUGCAGCAGCAGCCCCAACAGGGCGAGAUAAAGCAGUAGCCUGCAAAUAAACUGAAAUCAGUCACUCAA
Molecule: long non-coding RNA, 4146 nt
Organism: Chiroxiphia lanceolata (lance-tailed manakin)
Lineage: Eukaryota; Metazoa; Chordata; Aves; Passeriformes; Pipridae
Exons: 2
Source: RefSeq, a predicted model, not a curated record